This 259-nucleotide ribosomal RNA is filed under the name uncultured prokaryote. Its description in RNAcentral is "partial 16S ribosomal RNA". It matches the Rfam family "Bacterial small subunit ribosomal RNA", at positions 524 to 782 of the family's 1533-position model. The record is from RNAcentral.
UACGGAGGAUGCGAGCGUUAUCCGGAUUUAUUGGGUUUAAAGGGCGCGUAGGCGGCUUUUUAAGUCGGCGGUGAAAUUUUGCAGCUUAACUGUAACAGUGCCGUUGAUACUGGGGAGCUAGGAUUUGGUUGCUGUGGGUGGAAUGUGUGGUGUAGCGGUGAAAUGCUUAGAGAUCACACAGAAUAUCGAUUGCGAAGGCAGCUCACAAAGCCAAGAUUGACGCUGAGGCACGAAAGUGUGGGGAUCAAACAGGAUUAGA